AAGGAUCAUUACAGAGUUCAUGCCCUCACGGGUAGAUCUCCCACCCUUGAAUAUUAUACCUUAGUUGCUUUGGCAGGCCGGGGCAACCCCCGGGGCUUCGGCCUUGGUGUGCCUGCCAGAGGAAACAAACUCUGUUUUUAGUGAUGUCUGAGUACUAUAUAAUAGUUAAAACUUUCAACAACGGAUCUCUUGGUUCUGGCAUCGAUGAAGAACGCAGCGAAAUGCGAUAAGUAAUGUGAAUUGCAGAAUUCAGUGAAUCAUCGAAUCUUUGAACGCACAUUGCGCCCCGUGGUAUUCCGCGGGGCAUGCCUGUUCGAGCGUCAUUUCAACCCAUCAAGCUUCGGCUUGGUCUUGGGGCCUGCGAUUCCGCAGCCUCUAAACCCAGUGGCGGUGCCUCCGAGCUCUGAGCGUAGUAAUUCUUCUCGCUAUAGGGUCUCGGUGGUGUCUUGCCAGCAACCCCCAAUUUUUUACAGGUUGACCUCGGAUCAGGUAGGGAUACCCGCUGAACUUAAGCAUAUCAAUAAGCGGAGGAAAAGAAACCAACAGGGAUUACCUCAGUAACGGCGAGUGAAGCGGUAACAGCUCAAAUUUGAAAUCUGCCGCAAGGCCGAGUUGUAAUUUGUAGAAGAUGCUUUGGGUAUGGCCCCGGUCUAAGUUCGUUGGAACAUGACGUCAUAGAGGGUGAGAAUCCCGUAUGUGACUGGGUGCUUUUGCCUAUGUAAAGCUCUUUCGACGAGUCGAGUUGUUUGGGAAUGCAGCUCAAAAUGGGUGGUAUAUUUCAUCUAAAGCUAAAUAUUGGCCAGAGACCGAUAGCGCACAAGUAGAGUGAUCGAAAGAUGAAAAGCACCUUGGAAAGAGAGUUAAACAGUACGUGAAAUUGUUGAAAGGGAAGCGCUUGCAACCAGACUUGCACGCUGUUGAUCAUCCAGGCUUCUGUCUGGUGCACUCGGCAGCGUUCAGGCCAGCAUCGGUUCUGGUGGUGGGAUAAAGGCCUUGGGAAUGUAGCUUCUUUCGGGGAGUGUUAUAGCCCUCGGUGCAAUGCCGCCUAUCGGGACCGAGGACCGCGCUUCGGCUAGGAUGCUGGCGUAAUGGUUGUAAGCGACC
RNAcentral lists this ribosomal RNA (1104 nucleotides) under uncultured Lemonniera. Its description in RNAcentral is "eukaryotic LSU rRNA". The stretch from base 476 to 1104 matches the Rfam family "Eukaryotic large subunit ribosomal RNA", at positions 1 to 649 of the family's 3401-position model. Lineage: Eukaryota; Fungi; Ascomycota. The record is from RNAcentral.